Molecule: ribosomal RNA, 253 nt
Filed under: uncultured bacterium
Lineage: Bacteria
Description: partial 16S ribosomal RNA
Rfam family: Bacterial small subunit ribosomal RNA
Source: RNAcentral
UACGGAGGGGACUAGCGUUGUUCGGAAUUACUGGGCGUAAAGCGCACGUAGGCGGAUUUGUAAGUCAGGGGUGAAAUCCCGAGGCUCAACCUCGGAACUGCCUUUGAUACUGCAAAUCUCGAGUCCGGAAGAGGUGAGUGGAAUUCCUAGUGUAGAGGUGAAAUUCGUAGAUAUUAGGAAGAACACCAGUGGCGAAGGCGGCUCACUGGCCCGGUACUGACGCUGAGGUGCGAAAGCGUGGGGAGCGAACAGG